Molecule: non-coding RNA, 373 nt
Organism: Adlercreutzia equolifaciens DSM 19450
Lineage: Bacteria; Bacillati; Actinomycetota; Coriobacteriia; Eggerthellales; Eggerthellaceae
Source: Rfam
CGAGCGGGCCAGACGGUCGCGUACCCCCUCAGGGGUGCGAGGAAAGUCCGGGCUCCGCAGGGCAAGAUGCCAGCUAACGGCUGGGCGGGGCGACCCGACGGAAAGUGCCACAGAAAAGAAGACUCCCCUGCUCGGAACAUGCGGUGCGAGCCGCAUGCGCGACACAGGAGAAAAGCUGAAACGGUGCGGUAAGAGCGCACCAGCGCGGCGGCAACGUCGCGGCUUGGCAAACCCCAUCUGGAGCAAGCGCAAAUAGGAGCGCCAUACGGUGGCCCGCCGUGCGCUCGGGUUGCGUGCUAGAGACGCGGGGCGACUCGCGUUCGAGAUAAAUGGCCGUCCCCGACAGAACCCGGCUUACAGGCCCGCUCGCCUC